GACAUUCAACAAACCGACGAGACUGGAGAGUUAGAAGCAGGAAGCGUAUUGAAGCUGUGUAAUUGGAGAUCAGUCAUCAUAGAAGAGGCCCCCUCAGCACUGGGCCAGUGGCGCAAUGGAUAACGCGUCUGACUACGGAUCAGAAGAUUCUAGGUUCGACUCCUGGCUGGCUCGAAAUGUGCGUUCCUUUUUCUUCCUAUACUGUAUACGUUUUGAGUUGAGCGUUGCAAGGCCUGCUUGUAAAGGAUCGUAGCUAGUGUCAAGAUCAAAUAUGUUGCAUCUUAAUGUUGCUUUGCUCAAAAUAAUACCUUCUUAGCUGUAUUUGAAACCCGGAGUUAUCCAAAAUGGCUUGCAAAAUUUCUAGCGCCCCUGUUCUUAAAAUUACGCAGGAGUCUGUAUACCGCUAACACGAAAACAUUCUGAUUGAGAGUGGAGGUUUGCAAUCAGGGAUAUGCGUGGCCAAUGUCUUCCCACCUCACCGAAAGCUCCUAGCAGGUAGAACCCAGGCCGCACCGACAAGAGAAGGGCGUCGAUUCUGCUCUGCAAGACAGUUCCGCAGACCUGGGACCUCUACCGGCGGCCUUGGCUAGCUCCGCUUGCAAAGCCAACCUAGCCUCCAUUGCACAAGGAAACCUUAAAAAUUCGGGGAUUUCGCAGUAAGAGGCCCAGAAAAACGCAUGACUAUUCACUUUACGUAAGACCUGAGAGCCAGAAACAGAUGUGACGAAGGUGGGUGGGAGAGCGGGGCUCAGCUAUUCGUUAACCAGUCAUUCGAUGAUUAAGUUGCCCUAGAUAACAUACCCCACUCCCCGAGAGUUUAUUAAAACUGUAUCAAAUACAGGAAAUUAUUAGGGGCAGAAUCAGAGCAGGGGCCAAGGGGCGUGGCUCACUCUUGGAGUCCUGACUGCUGGAUAUAGAACAGGCCAGAUACCUGCCUCUGCUUUCCAGAGUGCUGGAAUUUAAGGUACAAGACAUCACACCAGGCUUCUACACUUCUGAGGUUUUAGUUUGCUGUUAAUGACGUUAUGGUGAGUUGUUUUUCCGAGACCGGGUUUCCCUGUGUAGCUUUGACUAUCAUGGAACUCGCUUUGUAGCCCAGGCUGGGCUCCAACUCAGAGAUCCCUGCCUCUGCCCCCUGAGUACUGGGAUAAAAUCAUGCACCACCACUGCCCGGCUAACAGUUAUUUUUUUGUUUGCUCUUCAAUUUUUUGUCUGAAAUUUAAGGUCAUUAAGUUGUUGCCAGUUUUAACGCUUAAAAAAAAAUGAGGGUUUAGUUUUUUGUUUAGUUUGUUUUGUUUUGAAGGGGGUGUGUGGUGUGUGUUUGUGACGAGCAGGGGUGGAGUGGGGAGGGGAAGAGAGAGAGAGAGAGACUGACAGACUGAGGCCUACUUAUAUAAGACAGGGGGCCUUUACUUGGCUAUGGAAAAUGGACUUGGGACUCUGAUUCAAGCUCCCAAGGUGUUGAGAUUAUAAGCCCCACCAACCACACCUGGUUUAAGAGUUCUUGUUUUAAGAUGUCCUAUUUGGGUGGAUAAGUGGACAUUUUAAAGGUCCAUCUCAUAGGCAUUUAGCUUUUGGUAUGUAUUUUCAAAUUGUUCUGUGGAAAAAUUAGAACAAUAUACCCUCUGUCACCAUAUGUUUCCACACAUGCUAAUCAACAUUAGACAUUUAUGUAUACAUAUAAAUUAGAUAUCCAAGUCUGAUGUGGUGGCAUAUACCUAAAAUUCUAGAAUUAGAGACAGAGAGGCAUUGAUCUAGGGACCCCAUCUAUAAAUAAAAUAAGGCAUCCACAUACGGCUCUACCGGGCUAGAAGUAUGAGAUCACCUUGGAACUGGGUACAGCCACCCAACAAGGCAGGUGCUUGUAACAGAAUGCAUGUCCUCUGCAAAAGCAUAGCAGCUCUUUGGUUAUUACAUAUUAGCCUUUCUGCCAGUGUAUUCUUUACCCUUUCCUUAUAAUAGAUUCUCACUCUUACAUUCCCAUUUUACAAUUAGUACAUAUGUGCUUUUUAAAGUUUAUAGUUGAGUUUUUUUUUUUACCUUAGUCUGCUUGUAUUUUAUCUUGUUGAUCACCCUGACGUAAUUAACAAUUCUUAAAACUUAUCAAACUGAUCGGUAACUUCAUGCUUCUCUAAGCACUUUAUUUAGACAAAUUUAACCAACCCACACAACUUCAUAAGGUAAAUUCAGUUGUUAUCCCAUUGUACACGGCAUUUGCUACUUUGUAGGUUUUCUCUCUUCCACCCUUCUCUACUCCUUUUCUUUCACCCUUUCAAUCCCCUAACACUAGAUAGGAGAAAAGGGGAUAAAGGGGAAAGGGGGUUAGACUACUUCCUGCUGAUUAGUGGUGUUCCGCUCCCUGGAGCAAGUUUGAUAUUUGCCAGCAGGAUGUCUAAUGUCAUUGAAGUGGAAACUUAAGGGUUCUUUGGAGAGUCAAUUGUGUUAGAUGGUGUUCUGUUGGAGAAACCUGUAAAAGAGUGUUUUUGGUUUUUUUGUGGGGGGGGUUGUCUUUUGUUUGUUUGUUUGUUUGUUUGUUUUGGAAGUGGACACAAGUCAAAGACUAAAGCAGACUCAAGAAAGAAUGAAUGUUUCACUAAAUCAGACACAGGAGAGAGGAUGUUCUGUUAAGGCAAACAUGUAGAAGGACUUGCAAUGAAAGAUUCUUUGUUAACCACACACACAUAUUGGUUGGUCUUACAUUGUGUAGUUGAGCUCCAUUUGUUGGGACUCUGUGGACUCGGGCUGACUGGAGGCACGUGAUGAGGCAAGACCUUUGCUGAGGCAAGGCACAUGGAGGACACACAAUGUUUGACGGGUGUAAAUAGGACAGAAUGACAGAGACAGCUUGGCUUGCAGGUACAGCUAGGUGUGUAAUGAAUGUGUGUCUCCUGUCUUCGCUGAUCUUUGCUUCUCUGAGAGGCACAGCCGAGAACUUCUCUUGGUGUUUUUGUUGGUCUCCCCUGUUGACUCUGAGGCCUAGAUGUCUCUGUUAGGUUGUAUCACCAUUGUUAACCUGAUUCUAUCGAACUAGACUACUGGUGUUAUCUAUAAAAUGUUCACGAGUGGAUCAAGUCGUCUUUGUCUGUUAACCUGUGAACUGAACUGUCGAUUUUCAGACAACACAGACAGGAGUUGCCCUAAAGAACCUUUCUAAAUAGGUCCAAUUUUUUUAUAUCUUUUUUUCCUACUAUCUCUGGUGGGUGGUGGGCUAUAAUGGAGGUUAAAAUCUUUAAAAGCCAUCAUUAAAAUUAAGAUUUUAAGAAAUUAAAGUUAUACUUAUUCUUGUUUCUUCUUUGCACCUGACUAUUUAACAAACCACAAACAACAGCAAACAACACCAUCCAACCACCAAAUAGCAACCUACACCACCUCUUGGGGCCCCCCAAAAAGUCCCCAGAAUUCCAAACAUCACACAACUGCAGAAGCGAUCUGCUGCUGUCAAAAUCAUGCCUCUGCGAGAGUACAAGACACACAGUCACCUGGGGUAAAGCAGCCCUAGAUCCCCACAUCUGGGAUUAAAACAAAAACAUAUACCCAUAAUAUUUCUGUGUCUUUUAAAAGAGCCAAAAUUACAAAGUUCCCACUCAGACCCCAUUUUUCCAGGAAAGGAAACUAAACUUGCUUAAGGUCGUGAGCUCUUAAUUUUAAAGCAGGCCAGAUAGGGGCUGAGUGAACUCCCAGAGGACCCCACAGUGGGAAGGAAGGUGGUCACAUGUGUUUUGGUAUGUCAGUUCAUUUCUAUCCCUGAUUAUCCUUCAGCUCACCAGCUCCCAGUUCAUUGGAUAGUUCCCCGCCGCCACCACACCCCUCUCUCUUUAUUUGAGUGUUCUGCUACAUAUACAUCUUCAGGCCAGAAGAGGGCACCAGAUCCCCUUAUAGAUGGUUGUGAGGCACCGGGCGGUUGCUGGGAAUUGACUUCUGAAAGAGCAGCCAGUGCUCUUAACUGCUGAGCCAUCUCUCCAACCCCAUCUCUUUUAAUAAAAUGGUAUUAAAUUGUAGCCUGCUUCAUAAGGCUUUCGUAAAAGAAUACUUCCAGUUGAUUAGCCACUGGCCUGCAGAGGGCUCCUUAGGCUCUCUAAACAGGUUAAAAACUCAGAAGUUUGGCCUUUCUACAUUAAUUGAGGCCUCUGUGAACAUCCAAUGAGAUUGAAAGAUGGAGAGUAAUUCAGACAGAAUUAGGAGUGUGUGUGUGCGUGUGUGUGUGUGUGUGUGUGUGUGUGUGUGUGUGCACAUGUACACAUAUGAACAUAGGCAUGUAAAGGUCAAAGAUCAAGCGAUUUUUCUCAGUUUCUGUCUGCCUCGUUUACAAGUGUGCACCACCAUUCCUAGUAUUUUCUAUAUGAAUUCUGGGGAUCAGACUCAGGUCUUCAUCUUAUAUCAAAGCACUUUACCAACUGAGCCAUCUCUCCAGCCCUCUUCUACGAUUUUUAAAGACCAAACUCAGGUUCUCAAAUAGGCAUGUUCAGAAAAGGAAAUACUUUAAAGGUGAGUAAAUACAAAUUCGCACCUUUAGCCUAAUUUCCUUGUAGUGCACCUGUGUGACUUAUGUGCACACAGCUUUUUGGAAAUUUUGCAUUCCCGGAGAGUCUAAUUUGCAGAUUACUAGCAUCGCUGCCGCCCAAUUUGCACUGCAGCAUCUGCCUGCUGAGCCCCUAGACUCGUGGACCUUCCGCUCUACGUGACAUACUAUGCCCUAGCCAUUUGUCUUUGAAACUUUCUCAACGGAUGAUACAUGUAUGUAACUUAGUGGUAACAGAUCCUUAGACUAUCUGGCACACUUGUGGGAAACCACAUUACCUGCUCUUCUCUAGUAAAUACCACAGAUCGAGCCCUUCUGAGUGAGACCUUCAGUAUAUGCUCCCUGACCUUUUUCAACACACGGUACAUGUGCCUACCCACUCAACUUCAGGAACCUCACUUUUAGCACUGCCUGAAGAAAUGUCAUCCCAUGGAUACUACUUCAUCUCUCCCCCAGCAACCCUCCCCCAAAGGAACUUGACUUAAUCCAAAGGAGGCUGAAGAAUGGUCCCUUCCAAAAUGUCCUAAUACCCAGGAUCUAUGAUUAUGUUAUUAUGCAAAGCAAAAGGAGAUUUCAGAUUAAGGAUCCAGAGAUAGGGAGAUUAUUCUAGAUUACAUGGACACACCCAAAUGUAAUCCCAAAAGUCAUUCAUUCACAAGGAGGAGGCUCAGAGUGGUACAACCCCAGCCACAAAUAUGAAAGCCCCAAGAGCCGGAAAAACUUGUUUGAACACUUGGUCCCCAGUAGGUGGCACUGUUUGGGCGGGAAGUUGUGGAACCAGUGGGGCUGUGAUCUAGCUAAUGGAAGUGGGUCCUUGGGGGCAGGCCUUGAAGGUUCUUCCCUAACACUGCUUUCUGGUGGCCAGGAUGCAAAGGGCUUCUGCCUUGUGCUUCUACUGCUACUGAGUCACUGAUCAUCACGCCUUCUCUAUGUCCCUUGAAACCAUGAACCCAAAGAAACCUCUCCUCCCUUAAGCUUCUCUUGCCAAGCUUUCUGUCACAGCAAUGAGAAAAGGGACACUGAAGGCAGAGCUUCUUCCCUAACCACUCUGAAAGGUAACCUAAGGUAGGAGAACUAUAAUACAUGUGGGUUGUACAGUAUUUUAUUUGAAUAGAAACCAAUACAAACCCCAACAGAGAGCAGUGACUAGGUCCUCCUCACAGCCUCAUGAUGAGGUUUUAUGGACAGGCCUUAAUGAACAAUACCAUAGAAGAUGACAAUCUCCAGCAGCAAGAGGGGUCAAGACCUCUCUCUGGAUGGCUGUCUGGAAUGGGCCUGGUCUUGUUCCUGCUGUUUACUGGCCACUCAUCUUGGACGGUUACUUCCCAUUCCAUGCCUUAGUUGUCUACAAGAAGAAUAAUAAAGAACAUAGGGUGUGCAGGAUAAGGCCUGAUGGAGAGACACAGUCACUGUCGCUACUGUUUCAAUCAUGGGGCUAAACGGUUUCUUCCACUGUCUUGGCUCCAAGGUGUUCAAAUGCCUGAAGGUGGUUGGAUUUGAUGAUGAUACCACUCCCCAUUCCAAGUUCCAGGGUGUCAUAAUGGUAGAGUGAUAUUGACAGUGGCAGAAGCGUUUAUGAGAUGGAAACCAGCAUACACUUCUGUGAUGGUUCCUAUAUGCUGGCCCAGGGAGUGGCACUAUUAGUGUGGCCUUGUGGAGUGGGUGUGUCACUGUGGGUGUGGGCGUUAAGACCCUCAUCCUAGCUUCCUGGAAGCCAGUCUUCCAUGAGCAGCCUUCAGAUGAAGAUGCAGGACUCUCAGCUCCUCCUGUACCAUGCCUGCCAUGUUCUUCCCUUGACGAUAAUAGACUGAACUCUGAACCCGGCUCAGUUCAGACAGAAGUUUCUGAUGGAACAUUCUGCACCCAGGAGGAAAGACAUCUCUUCCCCCCAUCCUCAUCAUACAUGUGAGUGACAGUGUAACCUUGAACCCCACACUACAUACAGUCCUCUGAGCUCUGUAACUUCAGGGUAGCAAUUCCAAGCAUCAGAACUUCUUCAGUUUGAAUUUGUAAUGCAUAGAACUUCCUAACAUGCAUCUGUUAUCACGCCCCCAGACAGACUUCAGAUUGAUCUUGGUGACCACUUCAGUUCCAUGACCCAGGAGGUCUUUGCAAGGUAGGCUUUAGGGCUGGGCAGGAAGGGACCUACCUCACAGUGGUAGCACUCUACAUGGUAGUCUCGGUCCAUGGACACAACUCUGAUGGUCUCAUCUGAGCCCUGGGACAAAUAAAAAAAAGCAAGACAUGCAAAGAGGCCAGUUGUAAGUUCAUGGAAUACUACUGACAAAGCAACGGGGUGGGAAGAGAUUGUAGGGUAAUAGUGGUCUUCCAAUGGGGACAUUUCUUUUAACUUAAUUGAAUUUGAUUGUUUACAUAAGUAUUUAUUAGUGAUUGCAUUGCACAAGCACACACUUGUGUGCACAUGCCUGUGAAGACCAGAAGUUUAUGUUUAGUGUCUUCUUCCUUCACUCUAUUUAAUUUACUGAGGCAGGGUUUCAGGGAUAUUUAUUUUUUUAAAGCCAAAGAAAAGACAAGUUUUCUGUCCCUCUGUUCAUUAAAAGAGUUUGGCCUGGCUAUCCAGACAAACAGGCACAAGAAACACCUGGGGUUAGGAAGCCAGCCAGGAGAAAGGGACAGUACUGGGCAUUGGAGGAGUAUGCUGAAAGGUCUAAGAACAGGUCAGAGAUCGUCUGAGUGACUCAAGGGAGACAGUCCAGUCUUUUGAAGACCUAUGAGCAGAACCAGAAAAGCAUCUUACCUCUGGUGGAAGAAUGGGAAGGCCACAGGCUGCACACUUGGGGGCCAGCACCCUGUAGGAGAAACAAAGGGAACACAGCGCACACUGUGUUGUAACCAGAGAAUAAACGGUAACCCGGACCUGCCAGGAAGCCCUCAUGGCCAGCACUCAGGUAAUAUGGAGCUAGGCUCACUCUUUGGAAUAGUAACACUCCUCCUGGCUGCUACAGGAGCAUCUGGCUGCCUCUUGCUCCCUUAGGAAUAAAGGGGAAGCUGGUUGUUUGCUUCCUGCACAGCUACCGGGGCUGGUCUGACAGAGUGGUAGGCUAAGCCUGACUUGGCGCCUGGUGAAGUUGGGUAAAGCUGGGGCUACAGGCUUGUUGAAUCCUCUGAUUACCAUUCUGUGUUCUGCUUUACCACCAAACACAUUUCAAACCAGUUUCUGCAUACUUUCCAUUCUGCUGAGCUCAGUGGGCCUGUGUACAGGUUACCAUCUACUCCCUUCCUCUCCCCUUACUUGUGAUAAUCUCGGACACAGUAGAUCUUGUUCUCAGAGUCCACGGUGAAAGGAACCCCAUCUAGACACUCAUUGCAGAUGACGCAGCGGAAACAGCCAGGGUGAUAGGACUUCCCUAGGGCCUGUAGGAUCUGAAGACACAAAGGAAACAACUCAGAGAUGAAAGGAAGGAAGAGAGACAUGGAGAAAGAGGAACACGUUGAUUAAGGAGCCCAAUGCACAGCUGUACCAUAGCACAGACUCCACCUAGCCCACAGCUUGCCCUGGACAAAGGCUAAGAGGGGGCUGGCCUGCUUGACAGAAGAGGAUCAAAGAGGAACCUAUGCAGACUCUCAGUGCUGACUGGAGGAAAUAAGAGACUCCUGUCUGAUUCCUCCCUCAUAGCAGGGAACUUGUUCUUUCCUAAGAAGCAAUGCUAGGUAGGGCUAAGCCUGUCCUGGGACCCGAACAUUGGGAAACAGCAAUAAACCAGUUAAAGCUGGUCAUAAAAGAAUCCACCCCUGCUAUGGAAUGCAGUAAGUAUAUGGAAAAAUGAAAGAAAAUUCCAGGGUUGGAGAGAUGGCUCAGAGGUUAAGAGCACUGACUGCUCUCCCACAGGUCAAUUCCCAAUAACCACUUGAUGGCUGGAGACCAUCUGUAAUGGGAUCUGAUGCCACGUUCUGGUGUGUCUGAAGACAGCUACAGUGUACUCACAUAUAUAAAAUAAAUAAGUAAUUUAAUUUUUAAAAGAAGAAAGAAAAUUCCAGAUGGAGCUAGGAGAACUUGGACAAAGCCUCCACAUUGACUCGAGGUACCCUUCCAUGCAGCUUAAAUUCUGCAGUGUGACAACCUAGAGGCUGGCUGGAGCCCUGAUCAAUCAAAUCCAAGCGUGACAGACGAAGUCCCUUUGUUGUCCUUCUUUUUAAAAACACAACUCAGGAAAAGCCCCAAAGGCCUCCUUUCUCUCAGUGUCAUUUGAUUUGGAUGUGAUAACUUGAACCACCAUCCAAAACAGAAACAACCAAGACACAGAGGAAAGAGAGGAGGCAAACAGAAAUGAAGAGAUAGGAGAGGGGGAAGGGAGGAGAGGGGAGGGGAGGGGUAGGGAGCAAGCGGAAAGGGGAAGGGAGAGGGAAGGUACUGAGAGAAAGGACAGGAGGGAAGAAGAGAAGGGAUUGAGAGGAGAGGAAGGAGGGGAGGAGAGGGGAAAGGAGGGGGGAGGAGAGAGGAAAGGAGGGGGGAGGAGAGGGGAGAAGAAAGGGAGGGAGGGGAAGAGAAAGAAAAAAUAGAAGAAAGGAAGGAGGGAGACAGGAAGGAAAGCAAAUCCUUGGUGAGGUCAUUGUCAGUAACAGAACUCACUGGGAAUGGCUGUAAAGUCCUAUUCUCAAAGUGUGAUCCCUGAAUGUGCAACCUUAGCACUACCUGAGAGCUUGGUAAGAAGUGAGCGUUCUCAGACCCCACCCCAGACCUCCUCAUCCAGAAUCACCAGGCGUAAUGUCUAGCGCCUGUUGUUUUAGGAUGACCCGAUGCAUGCUAUUAGAGUCGAGAGAUUUCUGUAAUUUGUAGCUAAAAGCAUAUUUGGUAAUUCAGUGGGAGAUUUACCUCUGCAAUUACCUGGGCCAUGAAACAGCAAAAAUAACAGAACUAUGACAUCACCAUGUACAGGAGUACCCAAUACCAGACUGCAGGGAACACACAGAGCAGUCAUCAACAGCUGGUAUUAAGCCAUGCAGAAAGCCUUCAAACAGGCCUAAGGAGGGGGACCUGAAACUUAGGCAAGUUCUGCAGGACACUGUAAGACUGGAAGAGAUGUGCUACAACCCAGGUCCUUCCACUGGACGUCUGACUAGAUAACUGGUACCACACAUCCCAGCCAGGGAUCACAGGAGAACUAGUCUGCUAUCCCACCUUGGAUCUCAGACUUCCUCAUUACCCACUGGGCUUUACUACCCCUAAAACCCCUUUGGCAAAGGGCCAAAGAAGAGGAACAACUGCAGGGCUUCCAAAAGUCCACUUGGUAACUGGAAUGCACUUCCUCUCAAAGGCAAAUCCUUAGAUUAGCUUAAUUCUCACUGCCUUCAGUCAAAUGAAAAGAAGAUGCACUUUGCUACAUCCUGGCUAGCUUCUAACAUUCUGGCAUUGAGGAACAGGAUCUAUUUCAGAACAUACCCCUUUACUAACACGGUGUUUUCAGACAGUUUAUACAGAGUUGGAUGGCUGGGGAUCUGCUACAGAGCUAAGUGGUGUCUGCAAGAGUCUUUCUGGGGCAAGAGAGAUGGUGCAUCAGUUAAGACAAGGGCUGGUUCGGUUUCCAGCACUGGCAUCUGGUGACUCACUAUCUACCUGUAACUCCAGCUCCAGGGGUUCUGAUACCCUCUAGCCUCUGUGGUCACUCACAUACAUGUACACAUACUAACACAGAGAUACACAUAAGUUUAAGAAGUAAAAAAAAAUUUUAAAUGUCUUUUUAAAGGACUCUGUAUUGGAAUUUUUGGCAGCAGAUGAGAGUUCUGUCUUAAAGCUAGGAGUCACUCUUAGACAGGUAGAGGGGUAUGGCUCUUGCCUGUCUACACACACACACACACACACACACACACACACACACACACACACACAAACACACACACACUCUUCAGUGUGGUAGUCUGAAUGAGAAUGGGUCCCAUAGGCACAUAUAUGAAUGCUUGAUCCCUAGUGGUGGAACUAUUUAGAAGGAUUAGAUGUGGUCUUUGAGGAUUCAAAAGCUCAGGUCAUUCCCAGUUAGCUCUCUCUGCCUCCUACUUUUGAACAAGGAUGUAAAUCUUAGUUACUGCUCCAGUACCAUGCCUGCCUGCCAUGUUCCUUGCUAAGAUAAUCAUGAAUUCACCCUCUGGUGAGCCAUAGUAAACUGUUUCUUCUAUAAGCUUGCUUAGUAAUGGUAUCUAUUCACAACAAUAGAAUUAAUUAAUUAGCUAAUUAAUUAAUUAAGACACUCAGGGAAGCUUUGGCUAGUAAUGAGGCUACAGCUGUUCCAGGGCUAAGCUCUGUUGUAUACAAGGCCUAAAUGGUAGCAGGGACUCCACAUAAACAGGGAGAGUUCUGUUCACAGUUGCUUUAUAAAUGUUAGUGUAUAACCAGGAAGAAAGCACAUUUAUCAAAGACAUGUACAAGGGCUGAGAAUGUAGCUCAGUUGGUAGAGUGCUUGCCUAGCAUCCAGAGGCCCAAAGUUCAACACCCAGUACCAGGCCAGGCAUGAUGGAACCUGCCUUUAAUCUCAGGACUCAGAGGCAGGUGUAUCUCUCUAAGUCUGAGGUCAUCUUGGUCCACAUAGCAAAGAAUUAAACAUUCUUCAAUUUCAAAAAAUUAAAACAGGGCUGGAGAGAUGACUCAGUGGUAAGAGCACUGCUCUUCCAGAGGUCCUGAGUUCAAAUCCCAGCAACCACGUGGUAGCUCACAACCAUCUGUAAUAAGAUCUGAUGCCCUCUUUUAGUGUGUCUGAAGACAGCUACAGUGUACUUAUAUAUAAUAAAUAAAUAUUUAAAAAAUUAAAUAUAUAUAUAUAUAUAUAUAUAAACAUACCAAGCAACAUGUAACCAGUGGUGAUGAGUAUCUGUAGUCCUAGCCUUCAGAGGUAAAGGCAGGAAAACCAUAAGUUUAAGGUAAUUUCAGUCAUUUGGCAAGUUUGAGAUCAGCCUGGGCUACAUGAGACCACCUCAAAACAAAGCAAAAGAAAGGGAAAAACAAAAACCACAUGCACAAGAAUACUCUGAAAUAGCAGAAGCUCUGUGCAUAAGUAGUUCAAAAAUGGCAAACACUCUAAUUCAUAUACUAUACAACAAAAUCUACUAUGAAAUCUACUUAGAAACAAAAACAAUGGAACUACUUAUAGUGAACAAAGCAUGUAAAUCAUAUAAUGACAGUUUCUUUUCUUCUUUUUCUUUCUUUGGUUUUUAUUUGUUGUUUGCUUGUGUGAGACAGGUUUCUCUGUGUAGCCUGGCUAUAGUAGAAUUCACUGUGUAGACCAGGCUGGCUUUGAAUUCAGAGAUUUACCUGCUUCUGCCUCCCAAGUGCUGGUAUUAAAGGCGUGCACCACCCCCGCCCAGCUCAUAUUUUUAAGUGAGGAAAGGAGUAUCUUAAGAGUCUAGGUUCUACAAUUCCACUUGUGUGAUGUUCUGAAACCAGCAAACAAAGGGUAGCAAUGGAGCCUGGAGCUGCUAUGGCCUCUGUGAGAAAGGAUCUCAGAGGAGGAAACAAAGGGACUUUCUGGGCUUCAACAAUGUCUUACAUUUUAAGUUGGAAUGUGAUUACAUGGGUAGGUGCACAAGGAAAACUUCACUCAUCAGUAGGACUUGUGCCUUUUAUUCUGAGUUAUUUCUUAACAAAAAGAUGAAAGAAAAUAAUAAAAAUGAUCAUGAUUGGUAGUUCCCCUCUCCAGAAUGAGAUCACUGCAUUAACACAAAAUGGAAUGAAUGUUUCCAGCUCACUAACCAUUUACCAUGAUUGACAUAUUAAGGACUGUUUUCUUUUUGCUGCCACUGGAUUGAACUCAGAGCCUUCAGCAUGCUCUGCAAGCAAUGGGCCACUGUGUUUCUUCCCAGCCCAAGAAAGGAGCUUCUAUAAGCUGCUGAACUCCUCAGAGGAACCCUCCAUUCACUCAGGCCCAGAUCUUUGGAUUAACUUUUCCUGCCCCUUCAGACGUUCUUUAAGUGAAGAUGAGCUCAGUGAAUGAAACAAAACUCAUCUAACAGGAAGUGGCUCCUAGGAAACAACACAAGGACCCAGCCUCUGAGAAACCCAGCUAUGAGGACCAUUCUUUGUUCCUCCCAGUAUUAAGGAUAGAGCACAUACAUGCUAGGCAAGCAUGUUGACAGAGUUAUGCUCCUAACUCUUACAUUCUGACACUGAGCUCUACCCCUUGCUCUUACAUUUCUGUUUCUGGUUUUUCACUUUACCAGUUUCCAAUUGUAAACAAUUUGUUGACCUCAGCACCGAUUCCACAGAGAACAUUAUUCUCACUUAUGAAACAAAAAUUGAGACUCAGACAACCUAGAAGAACCAGUGGCCUAGCAUAAAAUGGGAUAGGAAAGCCUAGGCCCUGUCCGUAUGAAUGCCAGGUGCUUUCUUAGGGACAACUUGUGCUGGAAGAAAAAAACCAACCACAUUCAUCUGACUGUACCUGACUCCCAAGUGACUGAGACCUCUGCAAGUAAAAUAGGCUGCCCCUAGCACCUCAUCGGGAAAGCCAAUGAUCACAGAGAAACCAGAUGUAGGCCAGUGUGAGCUGAAUCACGGCUGUGUGCAUGGUUAAAAUCGCAUUGGUCCAAGCCAACAAAAGCGUCUAUUAGAGAGGAACUGGCUGCACCAGGAAAGGACUUCUUUAAAUAAAACCAGCAGUGACCAGAACCAGAAAGAGAACAUUGUGUUCAAUUAUUAACGUCUUUCUAGCCUCCUUCCCAGGGCUCGCUCACCAGUGCUCACUUACCAUGUCCAUAAUCAGGUGUCCACAAAGAAAACAUCUGUCCGCAGACUGCUGAAAGCCAGAGUAC
Non-coding RNA from Rattus norvegicus (Norway rat), 13276 nucleotides. Lineage: Eukaryota; Metazoa; Chordata; Mammalia; Rodentia; Muridae. The record is from RefSeq and is a predicted model, not a curated record.